Molecule: transfer RNA, 71 nt
Filed under: bovine gut metagenome
Rfam family: tRNA
About the family: Transfer RNA (tRNA) molecules are approximately 80 nucleotides in length. Their secondary structure includes four short double-helical elements and three loops (D, anti-codon, and T loops).
Source: RNAcentral
GGGAUGUAGCUCAGCUGGUAGAGCACUUGGUUCGCAAUCAAGGGGUCGCGGGUUCGAAUCCCGUCUUCUCC